This 253-nucleotide ribosomal RNA is filed under the name uncultured bacterium. RNAcentral describes it as "partial 16S ribosomal RNA". It matches the Rfam family "Bacterial small subunit ribosomal RNA", at positions 524 to 776 of the family's 1533-position model. The record is from RNAcentral.
UACGUAGGGUGCAAGCGUUAAUCGGAAUUACUGGGCGUAAAGCGUGCGCAGGCGGUUUUGUAAGUCAGACGUGAAAUCCCCGGGCUUAACCUGGGAACUGCGUUUGAAACUACAAGGCUAGAGUGUGGCAGAGGGGGGUGGAAUUCCACGUGUAGCAGUGAAAUGCGUAGAGAUGUGGAGGAACACCGAUGGCGAAGGCAGCCCCCUGGGUUAACACUGACGCUCAGGCACGAAAGCGUGGGGAGCAAACAGG